GGUAGUAGGACAACUCCUAAAGCGUGGGAUGUCUGCUCUCUCGAAUAUACUCUAAAUGUCACCUGAAUCAGCUAUUCAUAUGGUGCACUCAUAGCUGGAUCUGCAUUGAAAGAGCAUAGUAGGGAUGAGUACAGUCAAAUUGUACUCAGUAGGUAUCAUAGGCCAACUAAGUAAAGUAGAAAAUAAAGCAUUCAAAUACAAACUAUGGGCACGCCACCUAUAAUUAGAAAAUAUCCCAUACAAUAUCCCACAUUAUCUCUACUAAAAAUUCUACUAUAUACGCAGAUAACAAAUACUAAUACAAGAAGAAAAUAUAGAUAUACACAUAUACAACAUACAAGUAGGGGAAAGGAAUACAAAUAAACAAAUAUCGCAUUAAUAAUAGAAAUAUAACAAAGAAUAAGCACAAUAUAUAAGGAAUGCAAUGAAGAAAAUGAUGACGAUAAUAAUGAUGAUGAUGACUCAUGAGGUUAUCGCACAACCUCCAUAUACACCUACCGAGUUGUGCUCCUAAGGUAGGAUCCGUGGGGUAUCAGUCAACCCAUAUACAACCAAUAUCCAAUACCAAUGUCCAUUACUUUUCUCUAGCAAAUACAUCGAUAGAGGGCUUUGAAAAAUACCAUAUUUUGUAUCAGAAAAAGCAAGUGUUUUCAGUAUUUCCACAGUGGUACCAAUUAUUCAUGAAUAAGUAUGAUAUAAGGAUGUAAUGCUUACAAUAAACAAAAAUGAGAAUAUAAAAUAUCAAACCAAUAUACCAGCCAUGUGAAUAAAAAAUCCACUCAAAUCAACCAACCAUCUAUGAUCUAAUAUAAUCCAACAAUCAAGUGAAACAUGCAAGAAAGUGUCAGUGAUACCACAUACAUCCCAAAAUCUAGGCUUUUUAUCCCACCAAAAAUAUUGAAAUCAAGCAUGAAUAUAUCAAUACCAGGCCAACAACAUCUUACAAGACCCCACAUGGUCACACAUGGAAAGUAAUGUCAAAACGGCCAAAUAUUAUCUACAUAGGCCCUCACACGGGUACAUAAAUCACUUUGAACACAUUUUUCAUAAUUCAAUCCCAUACCCAUAGCAUGAAUUUACAUUAAUAUUCACUACCCAACCCAUCCUAAGGAAAGUUAAUCCAUAACCUACCUCAAAUGUUAAAAAUAGAACAAAUAAGCCUUUAUAAGCGGCUUUCACCUCCCACACGGACCCAAAAUAAGAUAAAAUACACAAAUAUAGAAUUCACGUAUCAAAAGAAAGAAAAUGAUACCCAUAUUUCCCAUUUCUGAAUUAGAGUCAAUACAGACCUCCGAAUUGGGUUUCCACUUCCAAAUCAGAGUCAAAAUACACUCCCAAAAUGGGUUUUCAAAGAAAAUGGAAAUUUGUCCAAAAACUUAUUUCUUAGGAUUAAAGGAACUCAAAGAAGAAAAUCUAAGUAAAAACAGGUUGAAAUUAGGGUUGAAUCGAAGAAAUGCUGUUUUAGGCCAUUCGAGCCAAAACCCCGAAUUUCAACUUUUGAGUCUGAGUAUAAAAAGAUUUAAAGGAUAAAAUUGAAGAAAAUUAGUUGAAAUAGGAGUUUAGAUCUUACCCAAGCUUGAUAAUGGAGAAAAUCACGAAAAAUCCUAAAACUCAAAGCUUCAAGUCUCUAGAAUGGUGAAGAAAAUGAGAAAAAACUUUAUAUACCCAGGUGCGAGGUUCCGCUAAAGCAGUCAAAUGGCUACUUUAGUGGUUACUGCUAAAGCGGUCAAGUACUGCUUUAGCGAUACUAGCAAAAUUCAUGUCAUUCUGCUAAAGCAAACAAAGGUCGCUUUAGCAGUUGUCUCUAAAGCGGACAGGGCACCGCUAAGGCACUUUUGUCCCACUAGAUCAGGACACGAAAGCAGCCAAAAUUGCACUUUAGUGGCUGAACGAGCUAAGUAGUGCACCAGCUGUUGAGACUUGAAAAAUUGUGGACACCUUGAGAUUUAUCCAGAAUCCCAAGAACAUAAAUGAACUAUGCUACCUUAUCAAAUUCAAUACUCCAAACUCAAUGGAGAUAUUAGAAUUUCUUAAAAACAUUAUUUUCAUAGAAUUUACCCCCCAAACCUACUUUCACAAGUUUUCAAAUGGAGGGUCAAAAUGAGAUACAAAAGUAGUAAAACCACACCAACUAUGCUACCAACCUAAAAUCAACGUCUGGGUCUGAUGGUACAAUUUGUUUUUCCAUCCAAUGCACAGUUCAAAAAAUAUUGACCAAAGUUAACUAAUAAGCCUUUUAGACAAUCACAAGUCAUAAUCUCGCGCAAUUCACAUCGAAAUGCAUUGAGAACCAUGCUUAUCAAUCCCACACCCCAGAAACACCACAGUACAACCAUGGGAAGGGUAAAAAAGUCAAGUUUUAAAAAAUAAAUAUUUCACACAAAUUACCAAAAUUUAGUUCAUUACACAAAGAGGGUCAGCUACCAAUUUGGAUUGCCAGAUACUAGUUGGAAUCAAGUUAUAGCACUAAAAAUGAAUGAAAUUCUAAUUUUCUAAAAUCCUAUAAUAUUUUAAACAAAUUAUGAAUGCCUCCCUACUAUUCAUCAAGACUCUACUAGACCCAUUUUGGUACAACGAGAUCAAUAAACGUAGGGAUUUGUACUAACUUUUCCAUGAACCAAACCCAUCAUGAGUGGCAUACAUACUAACCCUCAGCGGGAGAAUCAUCUAACCCCAAACCACGAACCUAAAACUUAGCCAAAACAAGGCAACAAAUUAUUUUUUCAUUAGAUAAAAUAAUGUCUCCAAUAUUCAAAAUGAAAUACCAAAUGUGGAAUCAAAUGAAUACUUAAACAAUCCUCUAGAAUCUGAAAGUCAUUGUAUCAAAACACUAUAAUUGUUAGGUUCAACCCAUAAACAAAAUAAACUAUCCAAGUUUGAAAAAAUGGACCAGGAACAAAAUGAAGAACUUAUGGCAGCUCAAAAUUUCUAUCUCACUCUUGAGUUCGAAUGCUAUCUGCUCUACAACUGAGGUUUUGAAAUAGCUACUAAAACAUGCUCAUACUCAAAAAAAUGAAGAAGUUGUAGUAUCAGUACACAAGAAACAAUGGUUCACUGGUAGGGUUAUUGGCCAACCAAAAAUAAGAUAUGUGAACAAGUAACCAUAAUUAGUAAAGAAAGAAAAAUCAUGAACACCUACUAUGUAACUUUAUGUAAUGACUUAAUUUUUGUAAAUUAUUUAUUUUAUGUGAUUUGACUAUUUUGCCCAUUCUUGUGGUUUCUUACUGGUAUUUUUGGAGAAUGGGGACGAUUGGCACAAUUUCUAAUAUAUUUUAGUGUAUUUUAUAUGAGUUUGUAGUUUUUUGGAGGUUAAAAAGGCUUUAUAGUUGACUUCAAUCAACAUUUAUUUUCCUAUGCAUCAGAUGGAAAACCAGACUAUGCCAGCAUAUCUGGAAUGUUGAGUUUAGGAUGGUAACAUAGUAGGUGUAGUUUUACGGCUUUAAUAUCCCAUUUUGGCCCCCAGUUUAAAAAUUUAUAAAAUUGGUUCUUGAAGGUCAAAUUUUUUAAAACAAUAUUUUUAUAAAAAAAUAUUGAUUUCAUCAUUGAGUCCAUAGCAUCGAAUUUGAUAGAGUAGCAUAAAUCUUUUGCAUUCACGAGAUUCUGGAGGAAUCCCAAAUUAUCCAUGAAAACUUGAAAUUUUUCCAAGUUCAGCUGGUGCACCACUUAGUUGGUGCAGUUACUAAAGUGCUAUUUUGGUGGCUUGAGAAGUAGGCGCUAAAGUGCCACUUGGCUAUUUUAGCGGUCGACCCCAAUUGUACAACGACGCUUUAGCGGUGCCUUGUCUGCUUUAGUGGUAGGCGCUAAAGCAACUCUUAUCCACUUUAGCAUACUAGCACGAAUUGGCAGGUACCACUAAAGCAGUACUUGACUACUUUAACAGUGACUACUAAAGCAGUCAUUUGACUACUUUAGCAACACAUGGUACUCAUAUAUAUAAUCUUUUUUCUCAAUUUUUCCACCAUUUCUAAGACUUGUAGCUUCGGGUUUUAGCACUUUUCGAUGAUUUCUUCCAUUUUCAAGCUUAGGUAAGCUCUAAAUCCCCAUUUCAAUUAUUUUUCUUCCAUUUUUGUCAUUUAAAUCUUGUUAAAAGUAGAAUUUGGGAAUUUUGGCUUGAUAGACCUAAAUUACUAAUUCUUUAAUUUUAAUCCCAACUUCAACACGCAUUUAAUUAGGUUUUCUUCCAUGUCCUCCUUUAAUCAAAGGUAAUAUAUUUUUGGACUAAAAUUCUGGUUUUACCCUUAUUUUUUGAAAAUCCAUUUUGGGGGUUUGUUUUGUCCCCAAUCUGAAAAUGGAUAAUAUGAGCAUUGUUGGCUUUUUUUGAUGUGUAGAUACUACAUUUGUAAGUUUUAGUUGAUUUUGAGUUCGUUCAUGAAGGAAAGGCUCCAUGUUAAAGGCUUUUUAACUAGGUUUUCUUCAUCAAGGUAGGUUAUGACUUAACUUUCUUCAAACUUUAUUUUGAGUCUGUUUGUGAAGGAAAGGCUCCGUGUUGAAGGCUUUUGAACUGGAUUUUCUUCAUCAAGGUAGGUUAUGGCUUAACUUUCUUCAAACUAGGAUGGAUAGUUGAUAUUGAUAUAAGAUCAUAUUAUGGGUAUGGGAACUAAUCAUAGAAAUGGCUUUAUUAUUGUGUUGUGUAUGUGUGGGGGCUUAUGUUGUUGUUAUUUGGUAGUUUUAUGACAUUACUUGCUAUAUUUGAUCGUGUGGGAUCUUAUAUGAUGUUAUUAGCCUGGUAUUAUAUAAUUGGUUAUUUUAUUCUUAGUGAAAAAAAUGUCUAAGUUAUUAUUUAUGUGGUAUCAAAUGGCACAUUAUUGUCUUUCUUACUUUAUUGGCAUAGGGAUUAUAUGGGAUCAAGGAUGGUUGUCUUAUUGAGUGGAAUUUUUAGCUCACAUGGUGAGUAUAUUAGUUGAAUUUGAAAAUUCACAUUUAGAUUAGCUGUGAGCAUUACAUCCCCAUAUCAUAUAUAUUUAUGAAACAUUGGUGCCAUUAUAGAAAUACUAAUUUUUCUGAUAGAAAAUAUGACAUCCAUAAAAACCUUUGUCGAUGUAUGUACCGAAGAAGAGUUAUGGAUAUUGGAUAUUGGAUUUCAUAGAGGUUGAUGAACCCUCAUGGGUCCUACCUCAAGAGUAUAACUUGAUAGGUGUAUAUGGAGGUUGUACAACAACCUCGUGUAUCAUAUCAUCAUCAUUAUCAUCUUCAUUGCAUUUUAUAUACUGUGUAUAUUCUGUGUUUUAUAUACUAUGUAUAUUCUGUGUUUUAUAUUUGUUCUUGAUUUGAUAUUCAGUCCGGUAUAUAUGGGUAUUAUAGAACUAUUAGUAGAGAUAGUAUAGGCUACCAUUUGGGACAUUUUCUGAUUUUCUGAUUAGUUUCUACUUUCUCAAUUAGCCUAUGAUACCUAUUAAGUAUAAGUGGACCGUACUCACCCCUAUUAUGCCCUUUUAGUGCAGAUCCAUGUACGAGUGCACAGCUCGAUAGCUGAUUCAGGUACUUUUUAGAGUAUAUUUGAGGUAGCAUUUAAUCUAUGCUUCUAACUACUACCUUCUCUUGUUUAGUCUACAUUAUGUUUUUGUAUUCAAAGGCAGAUUAUGUUUCAUUUGGACUAUCAAUUGUAUAUUUUGACUUUGUGAUGUAUUUAGUUGGUUCUUACAGUGUGACAUUGGAUUUUGGGAUAUCUGUGGUAUCUUUGUUAUUAUUUUUCUCCUAUUAUUAUAUAUGUAUUGUUUGAUUUUAUUCUAGAAGCCUUACCUUAGGAGUUGGUGUUGUUUCCUAUUUUUAUAUUCGUUUGGAUGAUAGGAUUACUUCUCAAAGUUUGUAGCGACAAGUGCUAUCAUGACCCUUAGGUUUUGGGUUCCGACAAAGUGGUAUUAGAGUAGCCAGGUUUAUUGGUCUUAUUAGAGUAAGAACGUGGAUCUAGUAGAGUCUCACGGAUUGGUACAUAGACAUUUGUAUCUAUCUUUUAGAGGAUAUAAGAUAUCUUUAUGAAACUAUUCUUAUUUUGUUCUUAUCAUGUAGAUCUUUCAUACCUUGUGUUCUAAAUCAUAUUUCACUCUUUCUGCAUAGAUAGUGAGGACUAGAACUAGUGAGGUUAGAGAUGUUGAUCCAUUAUCCAACGUAAGAGAUCAGCCUAGAGGGCGAGUUGUGAGUCGUGGAUGCACCUGAGGUAGUGGAUGAGCAAGGGCAUCUGCCCCAUCCAGAGGUAGUACUAGGGUGCUCCCCCCUGAGCCUCAGUUUGAGCAUGCUAAAGAUAUGAGGCCUACUUGGGUCCCACAGAUUUCUUCUACCCCAAUCUUGGAGGGGUUACUAAUUCGCUUGUUGACUUAUUUAGAGGGUGUUUUUUAGUGCACCUGUUGUUUCUCUAACUCUGAGUAUUGUACCUUUAUUGGUGCCAGAGUCUGCCUAUGUUGUUCUUGGAUUUCGAGUAUGGAUCCUUUAGUGGUACCGAUAUUUGUUUAUGGUACUCCAUAGACUCUGAGUGUUGUUCUUCCUUCUUUGUCAGCAUCUGAGUAUGGUAUUUUGAGAUCAGGAGUUAUAACCUUUAUCUCUAUUAUCCCCUCAGGUGGGAUCCCAACUAAAUAGAUUUUCUAUGCCUCAUAUUAUUGCAAGUAUAGUUAUAUUUUCCAAGGAUUAGAAGAGGUUUAAGAUAUUCACUAAUUGGGUCCACCUAGGUUCAGUGGUGUUGUGGGUGAGGAUGCCUAUAAGUUCUUGAUUGAUUAUAGCAACAAGUUGCAUAAUUUUAGAUUGCUUAAGUUGCAUGGUGUUGCUUACACUACUUACCAGUUAAGAUAUGCAACCGGGGAUUGGUGGAAGAAACUUUUUGGUUGUAGAACCUUUGGUUUGCCAAAGAUGACUUGGGAUCAGUUUGUUGAGGCCUAGUUUGUUAGGUUUGUGCCUUAUAGUUUGGGUGAUAAAAUGAUAGAUGAGUUCGAUCACAUGGAGAAGGGCUCCAUGACUAUUGCAGAGUAUGAGGCAUGUUUUUAUGUCUUAUCAAGAUAUUCUUAUGCUAGUAUUGCCACCAAGUCAGAGAAGAUUCAGAAGUUUGUUAAGUGAUUUGGUAUAUGCCUUAUCUAGAUAUGUUUUUUGUAACUUAUCUAUCAAUUUCUUUAAAACAUAAUCUGAAACUUGUAUUUGAUUUUCUUCAUCCAUUGCUUUCAUGUCAUCAUUACUAUUUUCUUCAAGGACUUCAUCUGUUUUGAUUUUGUCUUGAUGUGAUAAAUUUGGCAAUCCAACAUUCCUUCUUUCAGUAUUGAUCAGAUCUCUUAACAAUAUUGAUAUUUUCAAACUAUCUUUUGCUAACGAAUAUCUAUGGUCUCCAAUGAUUAAUCUCCCCAUAUUUAAUGCUUGCACUGAAGCAACUAAAGAUGCUUGAUUAGCUAGCACAUCCCCAAACACCCUUGAAAGAUACGGAAACUGUUUUGUCUAGUUCUUCCACUAAGUUAAAAGUUGAGGAUCUCCCUUUUCAUCUCUAACAUUUUUCUGUUCCUGGUUAAUAUAUUGAUCAAAAUCAUUAUUGUUAGUAGAAUUAAGACCAAGUUCUCCAUCCAUACUUUCAUCAAAAUUAUUAAAUUUAGCCUUACGACAUGGAGGUUUAGACAGAUCAUCAUUUAGUAACUUGGCUCUAUCAAGAUCAUACAAAUGUCUAACUUUAAUUAAUACACUAUCCUUAUAUGAUUCAACAGAUGGAACUUCAUCAUUGCUACUUUCUAAUUUUUUAUAAAUCUUUUCAACCAUUUUUUCAUACCUUGUUCUUUAUAAGUUGGGUUGAACAAAGUAGAAGUCAAAGUUAUUUGAGGAAUUAGACAAAAUAUUUUCUAAAUUUUUCAAUGUAAGAAAAACUUUAAAAUCUUCACGAUCUUUACACUUAACAAAUUCAGAUGAAAUAACAUAAAAAUUUACUAAAACCAAAGAAAUAGUAGGAUAAUGUUGACCAGAUACAAUAUUUGUAGCACUAUAAAAGUUUUUCAAAAAAUUAAUAAGUUCUUCGCAUUAUUUCCCAUCCUCGUCGGUGAUUAUGAUUCUCUGAUACAAAUUAUAUUUAUUAUAAAGAAUUUUUAAAGGCUCACGAUAAUCAAUAGCAACAACAAGCAUUUCAAAUAAAGAAUACCAUCUAGUAGUCACUUCUUUUGGAAUUUUCUAAAAAGCGUUUCGAAUAAAGUAUAAAUUUUUUCAUAUUCUCUAAUUGUAACCCGUAUAUUAUCUUAAAAAAUCCAUCCACAAGCACUUUAAAUUCUAACAGAAGGAUCACCAAAUACAUUUAUACCAUAUUACACUAUUUAAUUAUAAACAUGUGCAUUGCACUUAACAUGAAAAGCAUCAUCAUCAAUUGGACAAAGUCUAGGUUUUAAAAAAAUCAAUAGCUUUCAAAUUAGCAAAAACAUUAUCUAAGUGACACCCGUUAUCAUAUCACAAAAUCCAAAAUAUUUUAAAAUAUCCUAUGUUAUUUUUUAUAACGCUCAACUUACACCUCAAAUUAGUGUAAGGCGGUCGUUGUUAAUAUAUUUACCCAACUUUGGAGUUGGGGUCGAAUCCACAGGGAGCAAUGUGAGUGGCGAUCAAACUAAUUUAAAAUUAUAGCUACAAGUUAAAUUCAAACAAAUGAUACAAAAAUAUAAAAUGGGGUUUUAGUAUUAAUGUUUGUAAUCAAUAUAAAUGGAAAACCAGAGUUAUGUUCACUGUGGGUUUCGGGAAUUGACAAAUACUAGAUACUGCUUAAGACUCUUGAAGUAAGUAGGAACAGCAGAAUAUCCCUAACGACUAUACUAUCUUACUUAUAUCUCGACCUCACCAGACAAUUUAUUAUCUAAUUCUCUCAAACUUAGAUAACUUAUCUAUUUCCAAUAGGAUGUUAUCUCAGGUAGAUUAAUCCAGUUACGGUAUUAAUCAUUAAAUAGAAGGUUGGUAGCUUCCGAGUCCCUGUUGAUAAUUCACUUCCUCUAGUCUAUUUCUCUUUUCAAGCAAAUAAAGCUAAGGCAUAACCUAUUGUUUGCAACUAAUAGAUUUUAAGUUAAAACAACAGAAUUUCAAGACGUCCUACUACUCUUUAAACCCUUUAAGUACCUUACGAAUGGAUGACAACACCAAUUGUUUCUUCAAUUGAAUCACAAGAGAAUAAUCCACAAUAGUUGAUAAGUGUUAAGGGAAAACAAGAAAAAUACUUGACGAAAAAGAUGAGGCAAUGUACGUUCCUCCCCAGUUUCAAAAAAACAAGAUUGAGAGAUUAAAGAAGAUUGUCCAUAAAACCCUAAAAGAUGCUAUUUAUACUUAACCCUAAUUAUGGAAAUAAAAUACCAAAAAUCAUAAAAUUCUUCGGAUUAGGUGACGCCGUCGUUGACGCCACGUCAAGGUUCUGACUCCUUAUCACAGAUGGCAUCAGAAUUGCUCCAGUUUCCUUCAAAAUCUAUCUUAGGCUGACGAUGUAGCUGAUGUCGUAUCACCGAUCUGACGGCGUAUCACCAACGUCAUCAGAUUUCUUCUUCAAGCUCAAUUCUCUGGUUUAGGCUGAUGCCUAUAGUGACGCCUUAUUAGCUCUUUGACGCCAUGCCACUAAUGUCGUCAGAACUUUCUCUCAAACUUCAACUCUCUAGUUAGGGCUAACGCCAAUGCUGAUAGCCUAUCACAAGGCUGACGACUUAUCACGGUCAUCGUCAGCCAUGUUUUCAGCUCUUUUUGCUCAGAUUUCAGAUCUUUUGCUCCAUUGUUAUUUAUUUCCAUGCAUCUUGACUUUCCUACAAAAUCUUAAGAAAUAACAUCAAAAACACCAAUAAUUACUUAAGAACUUACAAUUAUUUCAAGUUAAAAAGUCUUAAAUAUGCUACAAAACUCUAGCACAUCAACACCCUCAACUUAAAACAAUUGCUUGUCCUCAAGCAACUACAUAACACCAUACUACGAUGCUUAACCAAGAGUCACAUAAGAUACCCAUCACUGUUGAUUAUCAAGUUUAGCUCAAAAUUUAUGCCACUCUCUGCGUUCAAUUACUUAUAAAUCCAAUUGUGCAUAUCAAUGAAGAUUAACAAUGUGACCCAAAGGAAUCAAGAUAUGACAUCAAUUCAGCAACAAUAACCAUGCAUAUGUACAAGUUACACUACCCAAACAAAUAAAUAACUAGCAAUGUAACCGAUGUACCUUUACAACAAAGAAGUCCCUCCUCACUCAUAUAUGAACUCAAGCAUGUCAAUGUGGGGACGGCCAAGAGAUACUUACUCUCAGAAAGAAAUUCCAAACAAUGCAUGUCAAAUACCAUAUGAUUUCCCAUAUUUUCAUUACCAAGGUAUCCAGACAAGUAAGUUAGAUCACUAUAGGUCUUUUCUUCAGCGUGUAAUGUAGGCUAAGGGCUGGUAUGAUAUUCAAUGGAAUUUAGAGUGACUAAGCCUCCUUGGCACUACCUUAACUUUUGGGGUUCACUUAUUAACCUUUUUCUUUUUUUUCUCCAUUUCUUGAUCAACCAUUAUUCAGGAUGGAUGUGGCUUUUCUUUUUCAUUCUUUUUCUUUUCUUAUUCUUCCUCCACACCACUCAGCUUUUUAUUCUUUUUCAGUUAUUCUUUUCCUUUUAUUAUACCUUUCUUCAUACUCAGUUUACAUCACGCACCCCUAUGAUGGCCACUCUCAACUUAGGUUGUUUUUCUAAGUCAAGGUGCAUAGUGUCCAAGGAGAACCAGGGCCAAAACAGGCUCAUUAUGAUCUAAACGGGAAGGUGAUAGGUGUCAUAGAAAGAAAUGGUCAAUUCAGGCUCAAAAUAGGGAUCAAGAGAUAUCAUACAUACAGGGAAGGUCAUUUAGGCCAAAAAAAAAAGUGACUUAAAAAUCAAAACGGCCUAUGAUCCUUUCCUGACCCCUAUCUUUCAACCAAUGUAAGACUAAUCGGGAUUUUUAAAGAUUCAACACACAAUGAGAUAUUUUAGGAACAGUUUCCUUCUUUCUGUAUUCAUGUCGUGCUAGUGAGCAUAAGAUCAAAUUUAACUCUCAGUCUAAUCUGCUCUUCCUUUCAUUUAUAGAACAUGCCUCCCAAAGGGACUGACGAAAGGAGAACAGGAAAUCAGUCAGCACCUCAGCCCAUCUGGGCAGAUCCUCUAGAUGAGCAUGUCUCUCAUGCAGAAUUAAGAAUUGUAUUCACUACUCUAGCCAAUUCAUUCAUAGCUCUGAAUGAACGGCUAGCUGCUAUUCUGGAUAACCUAGUGGCCAAUUCUGCUGCAGCCAGGAUUCGGGACUUCACCCGAAUGAAUCUUCCUCUAUUCUCAGGUUCUAAGUCCAGAGAGGAUCCACAUGAGUUCCUCGAUCAAGUUCAUAAAGUCACAGAUAUCAUGGGAGUGACUUCUAGUAAGAGUGCAGAGUUAGCCGCCUAUCAGCUACAUGGUGUAGCCCGUACAUGGUUUAAACAGUAGAAGGUAGGCAAGAGUAUAGAUACAGAGCCUAUAGAAUGGGAAAAGUUUGCUACGGCCUUCAUAGAUAGAUUCUUUACCCUAGAGCAAAAAAAAGCCAAAGUGUUAGAGUUCGUCAAUCUCGUAGCAUGAGUGUAAAAGAGUACUUCCUCAAGUUCACCAGUUAGCCAGGUAUGCUCCCCAUGUAGUAGCAGAUAGCAGAUCCAUAAUAAGUAAGUUUGUGUUUGGCAUAUUAGGUAGAGUGGUAAAGGAGUGCUGGACUAUGAGGUUAAUUAAGGAGAUAGACAUAUCUAAGCUCAUGGUCGAUGCUCAACAGAUUGAGGAGCAGAAACUUUAGAAGAAGGAGAGGGGAAAUAAGAGAGCCAAAACUAGUAGUUAUAGUUUUUCUUAGCCAGGGUCGCACGGUUGUAACCAUUCUCAGCAUAGACAGAAGUUUUUAGCCCCAGUUCCAUCUUCAGCUAGUGCACUAGCACCAAAGUUCAGAAAUGAUCGUAGGGAUGGGGCACCAGGCUCUAAGGCCCAAGGUAGUGAGAAUAGGGUUCUUACUCUUUCUCUUUGAGAGUAUGGUAAGUAUCAUAAUGGUAUAUGUAGAGCCAACAGUAAUGUGUAUUUUGGAUGUGGCGAGUCAGGUCACAAGGUCUGAGAUUGUCCUAGGCCUGGCCCUAGAAGUAAGCACGGUCGUCCUUCAACUCAGUCCGAUCGACCAAAUCAGCAGGGUGCCAAUUCCAGUGCUAUCAGUGGGCAACGCCCACACAGACUCUUUGCACUUCAGUCCCGAUAGAAUCAGGAAAUUCCUUCUGAUACAACCACCGGUAUGUUAUAGAUCUUUCAAUUAUAUGUUCAUGUUUCUUCAAAUUCAGGAGCUUCUUUUUCUUUUGUAACUCUUUACAUAGCAGUCAACUUUAAGGUCAGACCAAAUGUUAACAGGACCUUUUUCAAGUCCCCACCCUAGUGAGUCAGUCUAAUACAGCCCGACAGGUAUACAGGAACUGUCCGAUUAUGAAAUAUUUGAAAUUUAGGCCUUCAGGUUAAGAUAGUAAUGCUAGUACGUGUAGAAAACCAAUAAAGAAAGAUGAUUCCCAACCCAUUCCUACCUCAGUGUAAAGUUUCUUACUUUAGUUAUCACGAUACCUACGCAUGCUUUACGUUUCAGUCCCAUGAAUACAGCUUAUAUCCAUGCACUUUUCAAAGAAUAAUAUGUGUUUCAAGUUCCUCGUAUAAGGAGUCCAAGUUCAUCCAGUGUUGCAACUCAUGUUCCACAAAUUCAGAAAUUCCAAACCCAAUUCAUCCAACAUAUGACUCAUGCACUCAUGGCAUGCUUCACAGUACGCUCAGCCCACACGAUUCAUGACUUCACUCCUAGUGUUCAACCAAGCUCAGAUUAUGUCACGUAUACACUCAGCUUAGAGUCUUCGGUGAAAAAGUAGUGUUAAUAUUCCGUCCCGCAGGCCUCUGUUACAGCAUCAGUUCAGUAAUCAAUAUUCAGUAAAGGACUUAGAUAGUCCUAUAGAACCAUAGGUUUUAGCUAUCAGUUACUUAGCCAUCAAGCAUCAGUACUUCAGUACCAGUCUAAACCUCAGUUAUCAGAAAACAAUAUUCAGUCUCAAUUACCGUCCUAACUACAAUGUCAGUCCCAGUCCUAGCCCAGUCAGAUAAAAAACUCAGUCUAGAUUUUCAAGAUUUCCCGACCAUAGCAUAUGGCCAUCAUUUACUCAAAUAUUAGUAUUUUAGUACCUCAGUUUACAGAAUGUUCUGAAUCAUGUUAGACACCUGGUCUUACGUUCCGUUCCUAAGGUAAUACAGUUUUCACUCACUCAUUCUUAGCUACCUCAUGUUACCCAGUCAGUCAUUACCUUUUAUGCAUAACACUCUAAUAGUUUCAGUCCAGCUAUCCCAAAUCAAGAGCAGUUCAAUUUUAUAUGUCCAGUAUUCAGCUAUCAGUCAUUCAGCUAAUCAGAUAAAUUAGUAUAUCUAUGCAUUCGUGCUCAACGCCAAUGUAAAUCUCUUAGUAGUCUCAGUUGCAGCGCAUAAGGUUUAGUCACCUUAUCUUAGACAAUGUUUCAUAGGUCUUGCCUCCUAAUACAAAAAUCCCAGCCAUGUAGCAAUCUCCUAUUCAGAUGUCCUGCUCAGGUCAAACCAAGAUUCAUUUUCUCCCUACCAUCACUAGAACUCUAUAGAGAGAAUGUUAUAGAAAUGCUCCUGUCGAGUAUAAGUUUUCAGUAUGAGUUAGUCCAUAAAGCCAGUAAUUUAAUUUAGCAAUCAGAAAACAAAUCCGUAUGGUGUAGUUUCCUAUUUUUCCACCUAGUCCUACCAUCAAAAAUCUCAGGGAUGUACCUAUUCCAAGAUAGAAAGUCCCAGUAGCUUCAAGAUAAGCUUAGUUCAUAUAUCAUGUCUUAGCUUCAGAUCCCGGAUAUUCAGCCGUGAUUCAGUUCGUAGAUGCCAUGUGCAUUAUCCCAGUUUUCCUUAGUAUCUCAGUCAAGUCAGUAUACUUCUAGGGACAUAAUGUCCCAAGAGGGAGAUACAUAAUAAUUACCCGAACUCUCAUUACAUAAUACAUGCCAUUAUCUCUUCUCAUAAUGAAUCCAGUUUGGAUUAAGGGGGUACUUAUAAGUUGACCCUCAAACUCCGACCUCAGCCGUAAUUCACAUAUUCAAGGUACUAGUUCAUAUCACGAUAUUCAGUUCAUGUAUCACGUUCCAGACUCAGUUACGUUCACGUGUUUCCGCUUAUGCGUAUCUAGUAAUUAAUUUUAGGCUCAUUAGUAGUUUCAAUUUAAGGAAAUAGUCUCCCUUGAACUUAUCCAAUUUUAUGCUCAGAUUUCCAUGAUAAACUUGGUAUCAAUUAUCAUUGCAUAUUCAGUCAUGCAUUCAUGUGUCAGACCAAUCAUGUAUUUAUGCAUCAGAUAUGCAUGUUCAAUAUAAUAUAUUCAGCUUAUCAGUCAUGCCAGUCAUGAAAUCAUAAAACAGAUAUGCAUGCUCAGAACAAAUCUCACCAAAUCAGUGAUGUCAAUCAUGUACUCAUGUUUCAGUUGUUUAUGUUCAGUGUGUACUUCAGCUUAUCAUUUCCCCCAUCUCAGUCAGUCCCAUUCGAGGAUGAAUGUUCCCAAGGGGGAGAUAUUGUAAAAACCCACAAAAUCCUGAGCUUAAUUCAGUCUAUUUAUGCUUGUUAAGGGAGUCCCAUACUUGGAAGGUUCUAGCUAACUUUCCAGACAUAGUUUAUUUUAACCUUUGAAGGUUCACAGUAUCAUUUUGUGACCUUAAUGUCCUUUAAUGGUCCGUAUUCUUGCUAAUUAAUGAUCAGAGAGGUCCAUAGGUGGUCCCAGACAAGUUUCCAAUUUUUCAAACCACGUUUGGAAGCCCAAAAAAGUGGACCGACGCGAUCUUGGUGCGUCACAUCGCCAAUUGCGUUGGUUGAUAUUGUUGCAGGUUGCCAGGGUCAAAGUACUGAGACUCGAUGCGAUGAUGGUGUGAUGUAUCAACUAUCGCAUCGAUAAUUGCAUCGAUUCCCAGUUUCAGUCAUUAAAUGUCAAUAUUUGUAAGGACAAAUGGGUCAAUUUCUCACCUCUAUAUAAGUCUAAAACAUGGGAUUUAGCCUCAAUUUAACCAAAAUAUAGUGUUUCUCUCAAGUUUCUCUCAAGCACAAGUUAGGGUUUUCAAUUGGGGAUUCAAAUUCAAGACUCAAAUUCAAGAAUCUCUCCGUCAAUCUUCGUAAAAUCAAUAACUAAGGUAUGUCAAGUGUUGAUUUAUGGAUUCCUUUCAUCCAUGAAGUCUAAGAACCCUCUUUCAAAUUAUAAAACAUGAUAUUUAUGUUGUAGGUUAUUUGUAAUCAUGUUUAUCUUGUUGUAUGAUUCCCAAGUUGGAAUCUUUAUGUGUUUUCAUGAAACUACGUUAGCAUGCAAGUUGAAAUCGAUAAAUUGAGUUGUUUAUGAUUUGUAAUUUAAUGAUUUUACCUAUGCCCUAAUUUGUGCAUGUAAGGUGUUUGACAAAAUGCUUAAGAGGAUAGAAAUUGUUUAUUAUAGCUCAAUUGUGACCCAAAUAAUAAAUGCAUGUUUUUCCCUUAUGACCAAGACUGACUUCCAUAAUAUUGUGUGCAUUAUGAGUAUUUGAUGGAAUGUUCAUGAGAUUAGGUUGAUGAAAGUAUGACGUCUUAUGCAAUUCCAUCCAUGUACAACAUUUUGAUAAUAAUGUGCUUCAUGAAAUCCCCAACUUAUUGUAUUAUGAAUUGUUGAUAUUGGUCAUGUGUUCAAGAAGUGUCAAGUCUUGUCAGUUUGAUGUUGUCGAGUCCUGGGUGUACGUGUACCCGAUAAUUUAGCUGUGUGUCUAGAGCCAGUGUCAGUUUUCACGAUACUCUCAUUCAAGCCAUGAUCAUUAAAAUUCAGUCAGCUACAUGACUCAGGAAAACUCAGUAAUCUCAAUAAUCUCAGUCAAUUAUCAGGUCUCAGUAGUAUUCUGUCAGUCAACGGAAUUUAGUGAACUCUGUUCAAAUCAGAUAAACGAUACUAUCAGUAACAGUUCUAUUCAGUUUAAAUCAUUUCAGUGUCUCUUCAGUUGAGAGUAGGAUUCAGCACCGAGUGAACCAAAGAUGGGGACUCAACUGUUAGCCAAUAGAGGGUGUGAUCCUUAUAAGCAAUCCUUACGUUCCAGAACUACGUAUCCAGCGUAGGUUGAGAUGUACCCUGCGAGUUUAGGGAUUAUAUACCUCAUUUGAUUUUUCUGCUAGGAGGGGUUGACGGAAGAGCUCUCUAUUAGAAAGGGUUUACUCACAGCUUGUCUUUACCCUGGCACAGUACUGACACCUUUCCAGUUGGGGUUACAACUUGGACCCCACCAGUUCAGUUUCGGGGAAUGUCGGUUAGAUGAUUACCUCUCACAGUCUCAAUUUCAGAUCCAAUCUAAGUAAUAGAACUCAGUUCAGUUCUACAGAUUUCAAGACUAUCAAAUACAGUCGCUCAGCUCAGUACGAAACUCAGCUAGUUCCAUCAGAACCAGGACUGUUAGACACAGUCACUCAGUUAAUAGUAUAUUAAUUAUACAAAAUUCAUGUUAUAAGUAUUUAGUUUCAAAACUGUCAGAUACAGUCAAUUAGACCAGUUCUUCAUAAUUAGAAUUGUCGAAAACAGUCAUUCCUUUAUUUGUAAUAUGACAUCAGUCCUUUAGUUCUCUAUAGACUCAGUUAUUCAGUAUCCCUGUAUUAGCACUCAGAUAUCAAUAAAUCUAUGUUAUAUUUGUAAUAUGACAUCAGUCCCUUAGUUCUCUAUAGAUUCAGUUAUUCAGUAACCCUGUAUUAGCACUCAGAUAUCAAUAAAUCCAUGUUAUCAAAAUUCAUGAGUCAGUGUUAUAACGAUCUCAGUUAUAGUUACGUAUUCAUGCAUGUAUUCUCACGUUCAUGUUAUUCAGUCAGUUAGUAUUGUUCCUGCAUAUGAACCCCCUGUAUUCAGCUUACCUCACUUUCAUACUAGUACAUUCAAUCGUUUUGACGUAUUUGCGCUAUGGUGUUUUAUACCAUAGGUUUAGAAGCACGAGAUCUUGAGCAUCCUUAGUGGAUCGAACGUUCAGUAGCCAGACUAAAAGUGAGUCCUCAUUAUUCGAGGAUAGCAUGAUUAUUUUAUUACUUUAUUAUUUUACUAGUUCGAAGUUAGUUGGGGACAUGUCCAAUCAACUCCACGAUUUUCAGAAAGUUUAGAGGCUUUCAGACUACAGCAUGUUUCAGAGAGUUUAUUUCAAUUUUAGGGUAUUGUUAUACCCUAUUACAGACAUUGUUUUAUAUUCAAUAUUAGUUCAGUUUUGAACCUUAUAGCCUUACAACUUAUAUUCCCCAUAUUUACAGUAUAUUAUUCAGUGCUCAGUUACAGAUAUCAGUCAUGAGUUAGCUUGUGAUUCUUCAGGGUUAUGAGCACCGUAUAGUAUUCAGGGUACUAAAUUCGGGGUGUUACAUAUGUGAUAUCUGUUGGUAAUCAAGUGAUUCCCCCAUAACUGUGCUCUACUAUUAUAGAUUAUUCUUACUAUAUUAUCAAUCUGAGAAACCAUGCAAUUAUCCAAAUCGAUCAAACACCACCCAAUAUCGUCAACCUCUUACUUGGCUCGCUUUAAUUCUUCUCUCAAUCGGUAUAUGAUUGAGGCAUCCAUAGAUGAAAGCAAAUAAAGCAAGCCUUCCCCCUACCCCUAAGGAUAAUGGAUUGAAUUAAAUAACAUAUAUUUCUUCAACACAUAAAUAUGAUUCGUCACUAAUUGGCUUGUGGCCAAUAGACGCAGGGCAGAUUUUCUAAUGGGCCAGGUAUUGGGUUGUUCUAGGUUAUGCCUAAAAAGAAAGUUUGGUCUUCACUCUAUCCUAAGUGUCUAGAGUGGGUUUGAACCAGAUUCCCAAGCGAACGACUUGAGUUUGAAAAUAUGAACAGUCAUCAGUCGCCUCACGUGCGGAUAAACCAUCGUAUUUCUAACACUUUAUUUGAAAUUGAACAAUAGGAGGCGGGACAUCCUCAAAACCCCAAACAAUUUAUAUAUUUCAAAUGGAAAUCAUGCCAUGAAAUUCAACAGUUUAAUUUCCCUAAAUUUAAACAUAUAAGCACAUAAACAGUUUAAACAUUACAAUAGUUAGUCAACGAAGCUAAUUCAAAUAUUUGGUUAGAACCUAAUUAAAGUCCCAACAGAGUCAUCAUUUCUAUUUUCCUUUUUUUGGUUUCGAAAAGUUUGGAAAAUAUUAUUUUCAAUCUUUUAAACUAUUCCAAAACUUUUAAAAAAAAUUGAAACAAUUUAAGAAAUUACAGAGUCACCACUUGAUUUUUAAAAAAAUAUCAAGAAAAACAAAAAUAUUACUUAAAAGAUUCAAAAAAAAAAAAAUUUAAGUUUAGAAAUUCCGAGUAAGUGGCUCCAACUAAUAUUCUUGGAAAGUUGUUAAGGCACCAAAACUAACUAUCCGCUAACUUGCGAUUAUCUGGAUUAUUUGAAAAAAUAACUUUGACUAACUUUAAAAGGAAAAAUUAAUUUUUAAAAAGAAAUUGAUUAAGAAAAAAAUAUCUUCAAGAUUUAUGAAAAAAUAAAUUUUGACGACUUAGCGAAGAUCUUUAACUAAGUCUAAGAAAAUUAAAAAUAAUUAGAAUAUAAAGGGAAAUAGGGAAAGCUGAAAGACUUAGGCUAUUUGGCCCAAAUCCAAAAAUCAUGUCCUAUGCUAAUUUGGGCUUUUGACCCAUUCCUCUAUCCUAAUCUAAAUAUUUGGGCUUUCGGCCCAUAACUGUCCUAAACUAUCUUUUUGGACCUUUGAUGUCUAAAAUCUACUUCACCUGCAUUAAAAUACAACUUUGGCUUCGAGGCACAAAUGAAUAAAUAAAUAGAUAAAUGAAUAAAUAAAUAAAUAAAUAAAGUUGAGAUUUUUUAAGUCUAUGAGCGAUCUCAUCAAAUAGGUUUUGACCCAUUUUCUUGCAUUUGUACGCCAUGUUUCAUCCUAUUGAACCAUCUUUCAAAGUCUUCUUAAAAAAUGGGCCUCAAUAGCCCAUUGCGUAAUGCAAGGAAAAAGAGUCCAUUUGCCCCCAAGCGGGUUCAUGCAAAGAAAAGUGUGAAGGAAUUAAUAACAACAACAACAACAAACCCAGUAUAUUCCCACAUAGUGGGAAGGAAUUAAUAUGUGUUCAAAAUUAGCAAUUAGCAUUUUAAAGGAUAUUCAGACACAAAUGCAGAAGAAACAAUGAUUCACAAAACUGAAGAAAACAUAUAAUCAAAGAAAUCCAAGUAAAUAGAGGGAACGAGAUAAAAUAAGAAAUUCUCACGACUUCCAACAAGCGAAGUUAAACAAUUAUAUUUUAAGACUAUAGAAAAUAUUUGAUAAAGUGAAAAUAUAAAGGGGGCAAUUUAAAAAAAAAUCAAUGACUAGGCAAAGAAAAGGACAAGUAAUUGCUAAGAACACAUGUAAACCAGAGAAUAAAUAGACUUAUAACAAAGAAAAUCCAACAUUAUAAGAGUUACUAUCGUAUGUAGAUUCAACAAGAUGUGACUUUCAUACAUUGACAAAGAAAGGAAAUAUGAUUGAGCAAACAAUCUAUCAAUCAAACAUUAGGAGCAACAUUAGGAGCCAAGGGAGAAUUUAAAAGUAGUUUCCAUUAAUUCAAAAGACAAACCGACUCAAGACAAGUUCGAAUUCAAGGGAAAAACUUAUAAAUCACAAUUAUCAGACUGAGAUCACGGAGGGGGUUAAAUUGAAUAGAAAUAAAACUUUGAACAAAAUAAUGAAUCCAAACCACAACAAGUGAAUCGGGAAAUUGAGAAAAAGAAAACCGAAAUUAGUAUCUAUUAAGUGAAAACAAGGAAGUAAUAAAACAUCCGGAGCAUUUAGGUAACUCGGGAAGAGAGAAAGAAAAGAAAAAUGGAUUUUACAAAGGAUAGCAAAAUGGAUUUUACAUCACCUAUGCAAGAAGAAUAUCAAUAUAUUAGCAUCAAAACAUGGACAUCCAGAAAACAUUAACACAUGAAUUGUAAUUUUUAACAAAAUAAAGAACUUAUAUGACAUAUCCUUCGUCCUUUCUUAACGUUUUUGUCAGUAAGUACUUUCAAAAAUGUUUCUGCUCAACCAUGAAAAUCCAAGGACAAGCAUGCAAACCACCAGAAUGCAAAUCGUGAGACUAAUACAUUGAUUUUAUAGCUUAACCACAAAACCAUGAAUUGAAGGUAAACUAUACAUUGGACUUUCGUUAAGCAAAAUCAAUACCGAAACAGUGGUCUAAAUUUCGCCAUAACAGUGAACCAAACCAUCAACAAAAGAAAGUAGGAUGUUUGAAAUAUAUGCUAACAAGAAAAUCAAUAGCUGACUAACAAUAUUAAUACGAAAGAGAGAAGUCAAAACAACCGAAAAGAACUACAGAAUCAAUAAUGGGGCAAAUUGAAAAUAUUGUUCCAGCAAAAUAACAUAACCACAACCAUUACAAGAAAAUCCUAUAGCCAUUGAAGCCAUCUACAACGGACAGUUCCAGCAACUACGAUUACAACCACCAUUACAACUACGAACAACAUGAUUAUAAAGCUAACACACUAACAAAUCGACUAGAAAAAGAAGAAAAUGUUGAAACUAAAAAAGAGGAAGUGUUACCUAUUUCAAAGAAGCAAAUCGAGACUCAAGCCUUCGAUGGAAUAUCGACCACCACCGGAAAACUUCAUUGCAACUCCAAGAACUUCGAGUAGUCGAGGACUUUCCAUGAAAAUAAUUUUUUUUCAAGAAAAAUGAGACCUUUUUGCUCGAAAGUUUUUUUUCAACCUUCAAGACUUGUUCUUUUCUGCUCAACAAGGAGCCUUUAUAUAGAAGGGAUUAGGUAGAUGACUUCCCACUUCUAUCGAUGUGGGAGAAGUAAAAUCGAAGGUUAUUUUUGGGAUUUUGAAAGAGGAAAUUCAAAUUUGGGAUUAAGGAUAAGGCUGAGCUGUAGAAAAUAGUAUGAAUUUGUACAAGAUUUGAGAGAUAGAAAAUGGAAAAAAAAUUGGAAAAUACCACGCCGCGGGUUCUAGAACUCUUGUCGAAGCCGAUGCAUGGGUUGAAGUCGGGUCAGUUUUACGUUUGGCAGGUUGUACGUAAAAUCGCGAAUAGUUGUUGUCGCACGUUGAAGAUGAUGAAAUUAUUGUUAACAUUGUUGUUUUUAGAGUCGGGUAAGGAGAAGGGGAAAAGGAUCGGUCGCGGGUCGUCCGGUUAGCCUUGUUGAAGCUGUUGUUGAAUUGUUGUUGACAUCAUUGUUUUUGUUAUUGCUAGGGAAGGGGAAUUAUGAGGAUAUUGGGC
Molecule: long non-coding RNA, 21115 nt
Filed under: Capsicum annuum
Lineage: Eukaryota; Viridiplantae; Streptophyta; Magnoliopsida; Solanales; Solanaceae
Description: long non-coding RNA (CANN_LNC010027)
Source: RNAcentral